Molecule: ribosomal RNA, 440 nt
Filed under: uncultured bacterium
Lineage: Bacteria
Description: partial 16S ribosomal RNA
Rfam family: Bacterial small subunit ribosomal RNA
Source: RNAcentral
CCUACGGGUGGCAGCAGUGGGGAAUAUUGCACAAUGGGGGAAACCCUGAUGCAGCGACGCCGCGUGAGUGAAGAAGUAAUUCGUUAUGUAAAGCCCUAUCAGCCGGGAAGAAAAUGACGGUACCUGAGUAAUAAGCCACGGCUAACUACGUGCCAGCAGCCGCGGUAAUGCGUAGGGGGCACGCGUUAUCCGGAUUUACUGGGUGUAAAGGGAGCGUAGACGGCAGUGCAAGUCUGGAGGGAAAGGCGGGGGCUCAACCCCCGGACUGCUCUGGAAACUGUACGGCUGGAGUGCAGGAGAGGUAAGUGGAAUGCCUAGUGUAGCGGUGAAAUGCGUAGAUAUUAGGAGGAACACCAGUGGCGAAGGCGGCUUACUGGCACAUAACUGACGCUGAGGAGCGAAAGCGUGGGUAGCAAACAGGAUUAGAUACCCCAGUAGUC